GAAAAUGCAUGAAUAGAGAGGUUUUUUUACUUAGAACUUCAGAAGCACUCUGCAACAUCACACAGGGGAAGAACCACAGACCUGCGUUUUCGUACAUUAUAUUUGUGUAUUAUACGUUUAUUCACAUCUUUGUCUUUCAUCCACCAUCAUAACCAGCCAUGAGGGCAUCGUUGAUAUUUCUAUUUGUGAUACUGAUGGGUGACCAAAGUCAAUGCCAAAGUGGGGAUUAUGAAAUUGAAUACGAACAUGAACCGGGUCCAGACAUCCUGGGACUGAUCAAACAGACUGCACUGGGCAAGGAAAUCAGUGACAAGAUCUCAGAGAGUGUGGAUGCAAUCAAUCAAUAUGCCCAAGCCGUGGGAAGCAAGGCCCAGUCUAUGUUUGAUAACCUGGGUCGUCAAGCUGAACGUGAAGCCAUGUUUGCCAAACAAGAUAUCCAGAACAACGCCAUUGCUGCUGUCCAGAACGUCCACGGCCGGCUAACGCAGAGUGCUGGGGACAUGCGGCUGAAGACUGAGUCACUCAUCGAGGCGGUUGCACACUCCCUGCAGAUUCAUCUUCACGUGUUUUGGGAGUCACUGACAAAAGGAAAUGAAACACACCCUCUGUUCCAGUGAGAUGCCCAAUGCCAGUGUGAUGGAGGCCCAUGAGUGUGCAUGUCAAUCUUACCUAGAUUAGGUGGGCCAUACCCGCUUAAUACUAUUUAUGAUGUGAAUGAUAAUCUUGCUCUCUCAUUUUUAUCACAACAAAUUCAUCUAGCAGCAGUUUUUCAUUGCUGUUUGUAUUCCUCAAUAACUGAAUGGAGUGUUAAGAGUUGAAUGCUAAGUACACAGAGUGCAAUAAACUCUACUCUCAAACUGUACUCUCAUACUGUUCAUUUAUUAUCUGUUCAUUUAGGCUUCCGCUGAACUACAGAGGCAAAAACAGUAGGCCAGUAUUACUGGGAGUGGACUUUCUUCGGUGCACUAUGGAGCUUCAUGGCUAAAGAUAUGUUACACAACGCUUCAAGAAAUCAUGCAGUUGCAACUACGACUCCGCUCACACAGGAUUGAAGAGUUGCGAUGAAGGUGUCGGCAGCAGUUGUGCUGGUUUUGAUCAGUGCGGCUUGCCAUGGCUAUGAGGAGCAUGUGGCCCUGGAGAACAGCCUAUUAGAAGCCUGGGGACUGGACGAGACUGACCCCUGGGAUUCCCUGAGGGGGUUAGGGGCUGAGGUGCACCGAGCAUUUACACAUGCAUUGGCCGGUGAUGUCAGGAACGAGAUCUCUGGGGGGGUUGACACGGCCGUCCGCUUUGGGAUGUCCAUGUUGAACGACGCAAGAGAUACGGGGGAGAGCGUGUGGGAGCAGAUCUCGGAGGAGGCGGAAAAGCUGGCCAGUCAGCUGGAGGAGGACAUGAGCCGCCGGUUGGAGGCCAUCGAGAGUCACGCCGAGGCCUACACUCAGGAGGCGCGCAGGAAGAUCGACCAGAAUCUACUGGAGAUCCAGAAGAACACCAUCCCUGUGGUCCAGACCUUCCAGGGCCAGCUGGCCCAGACGGCGCUGAAUAUCCGCACGAGCGCCGAGUUCUUUAUCGGAGAGUUUGCGUCACUCUGGGAACCUGCUCUACAACAAGAUUAAGCUCGCUGCUUAGAUUUUUUCCUUAGUGUAGAAGCUCAGCGAUACUGUAUUUUUACGGAGAUCAUGCUAUGGCUUGAUGUUGCCUUGUUUGAAUCCCAGACACUUUACUAUUAGAAGAGAUUAUCUUUGCAGUAUUCAGAAUCAUGUGUCAAUAAAGGGCUUCAGCAACAGUUGUGUGUUCCUGAGUUAACCAAUUUUUUUUUUUUUUUAAAUCACCUUCUAGUCUACCUAUAAGGGCAUAGCUCUGAAAACCUCAAGGUAGUUUUAUAGCAUAUUUGGUUUGGAAGUAUGGUAAGCACUGUUUAUUUUGUGGUGCCAGGA
Molecule: long non-coding RNA, 1937 nt
Organism: Clupea harengus (Atlantic herring)
Lineage: Eukaryota; Metazoa; Chordata; Actinopteri; Clupeiformes; Clupeidae
Source: Ensembl